RNAcentral lists this ribosomal RNA (440 nucleotides) under uncultured bacterium. RNAcentral's name for it is "partial 16S ribosomal RNA". It matches the Rfam family "Bacterial small subunit ribosomal RNA", at positions 339 to 795 of the family's 1533-position model. The record is from RNAcentral.
CUACGGGUGGCAGCAGUAGGGAAUAUUGCUUAAUGGGCGAAAGCCUGAAGCAGCAACGCCGCGUGUACGAUGAAGGCCUUCGGGUUGUAAAGUACUUUUUGCAGGGAUGAGGAAGGACAGUACCUGCAGAAUAAGCCUCGGCUAACUACGUGCCAGCAGCCGCGGUAAAACGUAGGAGGCGAGCGUUAUCCGGAUUUACUGGGCGUAAAGCGCGUGUAGGCGGAUUGGUAAGUUAGCUGUGAAAGCUCCCGGCUUAACUGGGAGAGGUCGGUUAAUACUGUCAGUCUAGAGUAUGUGAGAGGGAAGUGGAAUUCCGGGUGUAGUGGUGAAAUGCGUAGAUAUCCGGAGGAACACCAGAGGCGAAAGCGGCUUCCUGGCACAUAACUGACGCUCAGACGCGAAAGCUAGGGGAGCGAACGGGAUUAGAUACCCUCGUAGUC